RNAcentral lists this small nucleolar RNA (107 nucleotides) under Gossypium hirsutum (cotton). Its description in RNAcentral is "Plant small nucleolar RNA R71". It matches the Rfam family "Plant small nucleolar RNA R71". From Rfam's summary of the family: R71 is a member of the C/D box family of snoRNAs containing the C (UGAUGA) and D (CUGA) box motifs. Multiple nearly identical copies of this snoRNA have been identified in Arabidopsis, and it is thought to function as a 2'-O-ribose methylation guide for 18S ribosomal RNA. The record is from Rfam by way of RNAcentral. Lineage: Eukaryota; Viridiplantae; Streptophyta; Magnoliopsida; Malvales; Malvaceae.
AAUCCAUGUGUCAAGCAUUUUCAAAUUAAAUCUUUAAAUCGUUCCCAAGCUUCAUAUAGCAUUUCCUUCUCUAGUUGCAAAAAAGAUGUGAUGUCAUUUUUAAGCUU